GUGCAGAUGAUGGAAAUGUUAAAUCUGAUGUCUUUGAAGAAACUCAUCUAAGGAACCUCUGAUGCAC
Lingula anatina is the source of this 67-nucleotide non-coding RNA. NCBI's taxonomy places the organism in Eukaryota, Metazoa, Brachiopoda, Lingulata, Lingulida, Lingulidae. The record is from Rfam.